This is a long non-coding RNA of Hirundo rustica (Barn swallow), 749 nucleotides long. RefSeq lists it as uncharacterized. The transcript is spliced from 3 exons. The record is from RefSeq and is a predicted model, not a curated record. Lineage: Eukaryota; Metazoa; Chordata; Aves; Passeriformes; Hirundinidae.
CCUCGUUUCAUCCUGAGGGAGCUGGCUAACACUUUUCUUUAUCUCUAGGGCCAGCAGCUAGUUUAAACGCUUUACUUUCCCGUGUAGGACACAGAAGUAGCACCAGUGCCUGAUGUACUUUUCCCCGUCCCGCUCCUCGCUGUGCUGGCGGAGCUGCCCAGCGCUCGGAUGUGUGGCUGCUGCUCCCACCUCGCCAAGCCACGGCUGUCCGGGGAGGAGAGGAGAUGGAAAGGGAGCAAACUGCGAGGAAAACUUGGGGGAAGGUGUAAUUUGUUUAGGAGUUGAUUUGCUCCGGUUUUGCCGUCGGUAAAUUGGCGGUGACAAACGGGCCCGAGCGAGCCGCUCUGUGCGGCAGUUGCUAACAAUGCAGCCAUUUAACUCGAUAAUCGCUUUCCUCUCCCUCUGGGGAGCUGUUAGCGCCACAAUUCCACUUCAUUUUUAUCCCCGGCUGGCUCGAUUUGUUUUCUAAUACAUAAACAAUUAAUCCUAAGAAGGUGAUGUUGUGAAACUGCCUCUUUCGACAGCGGCAACGAAAGGUCACGGUGUGUAUAAAGGCUUUUGUGAAUCUCGGAGGGAUAAUCCUCUUUUACAAAUGCAGAGCCCUUUUUAACCAUCCACCCUCCUGCGAGUCCCUGAGCUCUGCUUUCCUUGUUUAAUUGUACUUUUAAAGUCUGUUAUGCUCUGCGUGCAGGCCCACGUGCUCUAGUUUUCAUUAAUGUUACGGGAAUGACUUGGGGCACUUACUGUAG